This is a long non-coding RNA of Homo sapiens (human), 482 nucleotides long. Ensembl annotates it as long intergenic non-protein coding RNA 1114. The record is from Ensembl. Lineage: Eukaryota; Metazoa; Chordata; Mammalia; Primates; Hominidae.
GCUUCAGAGAAGAGCGAGGAUCUUGCCAUCUCUUUUACAGAUCCGUGGAAGGCAGAGAGAAUUUGGGAACCUCUGUGCUAUAAGCAUGGAAAAUUGGGACUCAGGUAAAAAGGCUGGUUCCUGGUCGCACAGCUGGUCAUGGGUGAGUGUGGUUUUUGAACUCUGAUAUUUGGAUUCUGAGUACAGAACAUGUUAUAUUGUGGCCCAUGCCCUCCUCCUGAGUUCUUCAGUUUUAAUCAUUUCAUUUUCUACUCUUUUUAGGCACUUUGGCAAAGGAGUGUGAGUUUUGGGGAAGCUCAAGGAAGAGGUACCAGGUAGAGAGAGGGCCAGGGCUGAGUUCACGGGCUCUUUCUAAAUGGAAAUGUCUCACAUUCAGCUGUUGUCUGCCUUUGAGUCACACAGAACCACUUGCAGGAAGAACUCUAGAGAAUUUGGGAAGAAAGGGGGAGAGGACAGACAAAAGAUGCAUUUUUCUUUCAAGA